RNAcentral lists this ribosomal RNA (831 nucleotides) under uncultured marine bacterium. RNAcentral describes it as "bacterial SSU rRNA". It matches the Rfam family "Bacterial small subunit ribosomal RNA", at positions 60 to 938 of the family's 1533-position model. The record is from RNAcentral.
AGUCGACGAACCUUCGGGUUAGUGGCGGACGGGUGAGUAACGCGUGGGAAUCUGCCCUCAGGAGGGGGAUAACGGUUGGAAACGGCCGCUAAUACCCCAUAUGCCGAGAGGUGAAAUGAAUUUCGCCUGAGGAUGAGCCCGCGUCUGAUUAGCUAGUUGGUGAGGUAAGAGCUCACCAAGGCAUCGAUCAGUAGCUGGUCUGAGAGGAUGAUCAGCCACACUGGGACUGAGAUACGGCCCAGACUCCUACGGGAGGCAGCAGUGGGGAAUUUUCCGCAAUGGGCGAAAGCCUGACGGAGCAACGCCGCGUGAGGGAUGAAGGCCUCUGGGCUGUAAACCUCUUUUAUCAAGGAAGAAGAUCUGACGGUACUUGAUGAAUAAGCCACGGCUAAUUCCGUGCCAGCAGCCGCGGUAAUACGGGAGUGGCAAGCGUUAUCCGGAAUUAUUGGGCGUAAAGCGUCCGCAGGCGGCCCAACAAGUCUGCUGUUAAAAAGUGGAGCUUAACUCCAUCAUGGCAGUGGAAACUGUUGGGCUCGAGUGUGGUAGGGGCAGAGGGAAUUCCCGGUGUAGCGGUGAAAUGCGUAGAUAUCGGGAAGAACACCAGUGGCGAAGGCGCUCUGCUGGGCCAUCACUGACGCUCAUGGACGAAAGCCAGGGGAGCGAAAGGGAUUAGAUACCCCUGUAGUCCUGGCCGUAAACGAUGAACACUAGGUGUCGGGGGAAUCAACCCCUCCGGUGUCGUAGCCAACGCGUUAAGUGUUCCGCCUGGGGAGUACGCACGCAAGUGUGAAACUCAAAGGAAUUGACGGGGGCCCGCACAAGCGGUGGAGU